RNAcentral lists this transfer RNA (52 nucleotides) under Centrorhynchus milvus. Its description in RNAcentral is "tRNA-Phe". Lineage: Eukaryota; Metazoa; Acanthocephala; Palaeacanthocephala; Polymorphida; Centrorhynchidae. The record is from RNAcentral.
GCCAGUAGCAGCUCGAAGAGUGCGGCACUGAAGAUGCUGAGGAUUGAUGGCA